GAUGAACGCUAGCGGCAGGCCUAAUACAUGCAAGUCGAGGGAGAAUGUUGGAUUCGUCUGACAUGAAACCGGCGCACGGGUGCGUAACACGUAUGAAACCUACCUUUAACUGGGGUAUAGCUCAGAGAAAUCUGAAUUAAUCCCCCAUAAGACUACGACAUGGCAUCAUGAUGUAGUUAAAGCUCCGGCGGUUAAGGAUGGGCAUGCGGUACAUUAGCUAGUUGGUGAGGUAAUGGCUCACCAAGGCUACGAUGUAUAGGGGGUCUGAGAGCAUGAGCCCCCACACUUGAACUGAGACACGGACCAGACUCCUACGGGAGGCAGCAGUAGGGAAUAUUGGUCAAUGGACGCAAGUCUGCACCAGCCAGGCCGAGUGAAGGAUGAAGGCCCGAUGGGUCGUAAACUUCUUUUAUUAGGGAAUAAAACACGGGAUGCGUCCUGUACUGACGGUACUUAAUGAAUAAGGAUCGGCUAACUUCGUGCCAGCCGCCGCCGUAA
RNAcentral lists this ribosomal RNA (498 nucleotides) under uncultured bacterium. RNAcentral describes it as "partial 16S ribosomal RNA". It matches the Rfam family "Bacterial small subunit ribosomal RNA", at positions 28 to 523 of the family's 1533-position model. The record is from RNAcentral.